RNAcentral lists this ribosomal RNA (459 nucleotides) under uncultured bacterium. RNAcentral's name for it is "partial 16S ribosomal RNA". It matches the Rfam family "Bacterial small subunit ribosomal RNA", at positions 338 to 795 of the family's 1533-position model. The record is from RNAcentral.
CCUACGGGAGGCAGCAGUGAGGAAUAUUGGUCAAUGGGCGCGAGCCUGAACCAGCCAAGUCGCGUGAGGGAAGACGGUCCUAUGGAUUGUAAACCUCUUUUGCCGGGGAGCAAAAGACGCCACGCGUGGCGUUCCGAGAGUACCCGAAGAAAAAGCAUCGGCUAACUCCGUGCCAGCAGCCGCGGUACUACGGAGGAUGCGAGCGUUAUCCGGAUUUAUUGGGUUUAAAGGGUGCGCAGGCGGAAGAUCAAGUCAGCGGUAAAAGUGAGAGGCUCAACCUCUUCGAGCCGUUGAAACUGGUUUUCUUGAGUGAGUGAGAAGUAUGCGGAAUGCGUGGUGUAGCGGUGAAAUGCAUAGAUAUCACGCAGAACUCCGAUUGCGAAGGCAGCAUACCGGCGCUCAACUGACGCUCAUGCACGAAAGUGUGGGUAUCGAACAGGAUUAGAUACCCGAGUAGUC